ACACAUGCAGUCGAGCGCCCCGCAAGGGGAGCGGCAGACGGGUGAGUAACGCGUGGGAAUCUACCGUGCCCUACGGAAUAGCUCCGGGAAACUGGAAUUAAUACCGUAUACGCCCUACGGGGGAAAGAUUUAUCGGGGUAUGAUGAGCCCGCGUUGGAUUAGCUAGUUGGUGGGGUAAAGGCCUACCAAGGCGACGAUCCAUAGCUGGUCUGAGAGGAUGAUCAGCCACAUUGGGACUGAGACACGGCCCAAACUCCUACGGGAGGCAGCAGUGGGGAAUAUUGGACAAUGGGCGCAAGCCUGAUCCAGCCAUGCCGCGUGAGUGAUGAGGGUCUUAGGAUUGUAAAGCUCUUUCACCGGAGAAGAUAAUGACGGUAUCCGGAGAAGAAGCCCCGGCUAACUUCGUGCCAGCAGCCGCGGUAAUACGAAGGGGGCUAGCGUUGUUCGGAAUUACUGGGCGUAAAGCGCACGUAGGCGGAUAUUUAAGUCAGGGGUGAAAUCCCAGAGCUCAACUCUGGAACUGCCUUUGAUACUGGGUAUCUUGAGUAUGGAAGAGGUGAGUGGAAUUCCGAGUGUAGAGGUGAAAUUCGUAGAUAUUCGGAGGAACACCAGUGGCGAAGGCGGCUCACUGGUCCAUUACUGACGCUGAGGUGCGAAAGCGUGGGGAGCAAACAGGAUUAGAUACCCUGAUAGUCCACGCCGUAAACGAUGAAUGUUAGCCGUCGGGCAGUAUACUGUUCGGUGGCGCAGCUAACG
RNAcentral lists this ribosomal RNA (756 nucleotides) under uncultured bacterium. Its description in RNAcentral is "bacterial SSU rRNA". It matches the Rfam family "Bacterial small subunit ribosomal RNA", at positions 51 to 857 of the family's 1533-position model. The record is from RNAcentral.